GAUGAACGCUAGCUACAGGCUUAACACAUGCAAGUCGAGGGGAAACGACAUCGAAAGCUUGCUUUUGAUGGGCGUCGACCGGCGCACGGGUGAGUAACGCGUAUCCAACCUGCCCAUCACUUGGGGAUAACCUUGCGAAAGUAAGACUAAUACCCAAUGAUCUCUCUAGAAGACAUCUGAAAGAGAUUAUAGAUUUAUCGGUGAUGGAUGGGGAUGCGUCUGAUUAGCUUGUUGGCGGGGUAACGGCCCACCAAGGCAACGAUCAGUAGGGGUUCUGAGAGGAAGGUCCCCGACAUUGGAGCUGAGACUCGGUCCAAACCCCUACGGGCGGCAGCAGUGAGGAAUAUUGGGCAAUGGGCGAGAGCCUGAACCAGCCAAGUAGCGUGCAGGAAGACGGCCCUAUGGGUUGUAAACUGCUUUUAUAAGGGAAUAAAGUGAGAGUCGUGACUCUUUUUGUAUGUACCUUAUGAAUAAGGACCGGCUAAUUCCGUG
RNAcentral lists this ribosomal RNA (492 nucleotides) under uncultured bacterium. RNAcentral describes it as "partial 16S ribosomal RNA". It matches the Rfam family "Bacterial small subunit ribosomal RNA", at positions 28 to 507 of the family's 1533-position model. The record is from RNAcentral.